GGGGCAGUCCGACCUGUCGCUGCUUUGAUGCAGAGGAAAGUCCGGGCUUCGCAGAGAAAGAUGCUGGGUAGCUCCCAGACAAUCGGUUCGGCGUGUGCCGGUAGCUGAUUGCUAGAAAGUGCCACAGAAAAUAUACCGCCAGGCUGCACAGAGGGCAUUGCUGUUUGUGUGGUCGGGUAAGGGUGAAAUGGUGCGGUAAGAGCGCACCGCUCGUUUGGUGACAAGCGGGGCAAGGUAAACCUCAUCUGAAGCAAGAUCAAGCAAUAAUGGGGCUUCUCGCCUGCACACAUUAUGGGUAGAUCGCCGGACCUUGUCGGAGACGGCAAGGCCAGAUAAAUGACAGGAUAGAACAGAACCCGGCUUAUGGGGCUGCCCCUUUU
Molecule: RNase P RNA, 380 nt
Filed under: Candidatus Haliotispira prima
Lineage: Bacteria; Pseudomonadati; Spirochaetota; Spirochaetia; Spirochaetales; Spirochaetaceae
Description: Spirochaetaceae bacterium SP-2023 RNase P RNA component class A
Rfam family: Bacterial RNase P class A
About the family: Ribonuclease P (RNase P) is a ubiquitous endoribonuclease, found in archaea, bacteria and eukarya as well as chloroplasts and mitochondria. Its best characterised activity is the generation of mature 5'-ends of tRNAs by cleaving the 5'-leader elements of precursor-tRNAs.
Source: RNAcentral